This 230-nucleotide ribosomal RNA is filed under the name uncultured microorganism. RNAcentral's name for it is "partial 16S ribosomal RNA". It matches the Rfam family "Bacterial small subunit ribosomal RNA", at positions 524 to 753 of the family's 1533-position model. The record is from RNAcentral.
UACGUAGGGGUCGAGCGUUGUCCGGAGUUACUGGGCGUAAAGCGCAUGCAGGCGGCUCAUUACGCAUGGCGUGAAAGCCCCCGGCUCAACCGGGGAGGGUCGUCGUGAACGGGUGAGCUUGAGGGUAUCAGGGGCUGGUGGAAUUCCCGGUGUAGUGGUGAAAUGCGUAGAGAUCGGGAGGAACACCUGUGGCGAAGGCGGCCAGCUGGGAUACACCUGACGCUGAGAUG